AUUCAAAAUGGCGGCGCCCAAGAUGGCGGCGCGGCGGCGGCGGCGCGGGAUGAUGACGUCACAACCCCCGCGACGGCGCCAUGCUCCGCGCGUUGGUGGAGGGCGGCGCGGGGGGGCUGCUACACCGCCACGUGUGAAGGCCGCAGCCUCCUCUGGGCUUUUGUCACUGCUGCUGUGAAAAGGGCUGAGCCGGUCGACGUCGUUCUCCUCGAGGUGUCCCAGGAGCAGUUUGGGGUUGGACUGAGCCCGGAGGUGAAGAAGCAGUGAGUGCCCCAUAGAGUGCCCCAUAGAUCCCCCAUAGAGUGCCCCAUAGAACCCCCAUAGAUUGCCCCAUAGAAACCCCGUAGAGUGACCCAUAGGUCCCCCAUAGACUGCCCGAUAGAGCACCCCAUACAUCCCCCACAGCACCCCAUAGAUCACCCCAUAGGGGUGACCCACAGCCACCCCAUAACCCCCCAAAUAACCCCAUAUCUGCUCCAUAGAACCCCAUUGACCCCCAAGCCCCCAGGUGUGCCCCAUAGCCGCCCCAUAACCAACCCAUAGCUCCAUAUUCCCCCAUAGCUGCCCCAUAACCACCCCAUAGCUUUCUAUUCCCCCGUAGCCACCCCAUAUUUCCCUAUUCCCCUAUAGCUGCCCCAUAACCACCGUAUAAAGCCAUAUAACCCCAUAGCUGCCUCAUAGCCGCCCCACAUCUGCAAUGGGGCCGGGCCCAACUCGAUGGUGGUGGUGGAUUCCUUGAGCGCCGCCUUGAUGCGAGAGCGCCCCCUUGUGGCCGGGAGGAGAUUGAGGGCCGCCUUAGGGGCGGGGCGAGGUGAGGGGGCGUGGCUAAGGGCGGAAGGGGGCGGGGCGACAGGCGGAAAUGGGGCGUGGUGACGGUGGAGGGUGGGCAAAUGGAGGCGAGGGGGCGUGGUCAGAACAGAGGGGUGGAGCCAAUGGUGGUGGGGGCGUGGUCAAACUGGUGGGCGUGGCUUAUGGUGGGGUCACGGUGGUGGGCGGGGCCAAACGCUGC
Molecule: long non-coding RNA, 1009 nt
Filed under: Chrysolophus pictus (golden pheasant)
Lineage: Eukaryota; Metazoa; Chordata; Aves; Galliformes; Phasianidae
Description: lncRNA (ENSCPIG00010008638.1)
Source: RNAcentral